UGGAUCGAUGAUGACUUCUGGUGGCGUAUGAGUCAUAUAUGAUGAAUACGUGUCAAACUCUGAGGUCCAA
This 70-nucleotide small nucleolar RNA is filed under the name Pteropus alecto (black flying fox). RNAcentral describes it as "Small nucleolar RNA SNORD113/SNORD114 family". It matches the Rfam family "Small nucleolar RNA SNORD113/SNORD114 family". From Rfam's summary of the family: The imprinted human domain at 14q32 contains two clusters of tandemly repeated small nucleolar RNAs named 14q(I) and 14q(II) snoRNAs. These two clusters are named SNORD113 and SNORD114 respectively in the HGNC approved gene symbol nomenclature. Lineage: Eukaryota; Metazoa; Chordata; Mammalia; Chiroptera; Pteropodidae. The record is from Rfam by way of RNAcentral.